RNAcentral lists this transfer RNA (72 nucleotides) under Ovis aries (sheep). It matches the Rfam family "tRNA". From Rfam's summary of the family: Transfer RNA (tRNA) molecules are approximately 80 nucleotides in length. Their secondary structure includes four short double-helical elements and three loops (D, anti-codon, and T loops). The record is from Rfam by way of RNAcentral. Lineage: Eukaryota; Metazoa; Chordata; Mammalia; Artiodactyla; Bovidae.
UCCCUGGUGGCUCAGACAGUAAAGCAUCUGCCUGCAAUGCGGGAGACCCGGGUUUGAUUCCUGGGUCGGGAA